UGUUCUUACAAACCAUCAUUAACAUACAAGGUCAUGCUCAGUCUCCAGAAGCCUUUUCCAGAUGGUGUGAAAGUGCAAACAGCCUUUGCUACCUCGCAGGGAAAUACAUUGCAGGAAUGAGGCCCCCUCCUCUCAGAUCACCUUCAACUGAAAACGUGGUACGAGAAACUUUAGCAUCUGAGCGAGCAAUAAUCACUGGAGGAUCACCCGGCAAGCUUGAUGGAGACACACCAGCAUGCAUGUGUUGCAUGUGACGGUCAGCGAUGCAGAAGUGGCUCUCGGCACCUUUGACAAGCUCCCUGCUGCCAGGAGUGGCCGGUGGCGCUUGCCUCUGGUGCAAGUCAGAGCAGCCUGGGACCACUGUAGCUUGUAGCAGCUAACUUGGGAAAGGCAGAUGUUUAACACUCAGAUAUUGUUCUCUCAAAUGGGGGUUCAUCUGGUCCCUGCUGAAGUCAAGAGGAUUCUGCUGAAUUUGCAAAAACGUGAGGUUAAAAUCACAGGAGGAGCUUACACUGUGGCAUAUGCUUUACUGAUUACAGGAAGUUGAGCCUGCAAAAUUCAUUAUCUAAUCAGGGAAGGAUAUUUGCAGCAAAGUGUCAUCUUUUACUUUAAAAGCUCUUGUUUCUGGUGGAGAAUUAGAUGUCCCUUUCCUCCAGUGUGAUUACCAAAAGUAUUCUUAUUCCUUCCCAGCUGUGCCCCGACAGUCUUCAAAUGCUUGAA
Aquila chrysaetos chrysaetos is the source of this 720-nucleotide long non-coding RNA. RefSeq lists it as uncharacterized. The transcript has 4 exons. NCBI's taxonomy places the organism in Eukaryota, Metazoa, Chordata, Aves, Accipitriformes, Accipitridae. The record is from RefSeq and is a predicted model, not a curated record.